Molecule: non-coding RNA, 101 nt
Organism: Lentinus tigrinus ALCF2SS1-7
Lineage: Eukaryota; Fungi; Basidiomycota; Agaricomycetes; Polyporales; Polyporaceae
Source: the annotation of a GenBank genome assembly
GGGCGUUUGGCACAGUGGUAGCGCGCCUGCUUUGCAUUGUGUAACCCAAGGUUAUGUAAUUGGAUUGCAUGAGGUCGAGGGUUCAAACCCCUCAACGUCCA